UAGAGUUUGAUCCUGGCUCAGAUUGAACGCUGGCGGCAGGCCUAACACAUGCAAGUCGAGCGGUAACACAGGGGAGCUUGCUCCUUGGGUGACGAGCGGCGGACGGGUGAGUAAUGCCUGGGGAUCUGCCCGAUAGAGGGGGAUAACUACGGGAAACUGUAGCUAAUACCGCAUAAUGUCUACGGACCAAAGUGGGGGCUCUUCGGACCUCAUGCUAUCGGAUGAACCCAGGUGGGAUUAGCUAGUUGGUGAGGUAAUGGCUCACCAAGGCGACGAUCUCUAACUGGUUUGAGAGAAUGACCAGUCACACUGGAACUGAGACACGGUCCAGACUCCUACGGGAGGCAGCAGUGGGGAAUAUUGCACAAUGGGCGCAAGCCUGAUGCAGCCAUGCCGCGUGUGUGAAGAAGGCCUUCGGGUUGUAAAGCACUUUCAGCGGGGAGGAAGGGUCACUAGUUAAUACCUAGUGGCAUUGACGUUACUCGCAGAAGAAGCACCGGCUAACUCCGUGCCAGCAGCCGCGGUAAUACGGAGGGUGCAAGCGUUAAUCGGAAUUACUGGGCGUAAAGCGCACGCAGGCGGUUUGUUAAGUCAGAUGUGAAAUCCCCGAGCUCAACUUGGGAACUGCAUUUGAAACUGGCAAGCUAGAGUCUUGUAGAGGGGGGUAGAAUUCCAGGUGUAGCGGUGAAAUGCGUAGAGAUCUGGAGGAAUACCGGUGGCGAAGGCGGCCCCCUGGACAAAGACUGACGCUCAGGUGCGAAAGCGUGGGGAGCAAACAGGAUAAGAUACCCUGGUAGUCCACGCUGUAAACGAUGUC
RNAcentral lists this ribosomal RNA (817 nucleotides) under uncultured bacterium. RNAcentral's name for it is "bacterial SSU rRNA". It matches the Rfam family "Bacterial small subunit ribosomal RNA", at positions 1 to 813 of the family's 1533-position model. The record is from RNAcentral.